This is a long non-coding RNA of Pezoporus flaviventris, 562 nucleotides long. RefSeq lists it as uncharacterized. The record is from RefSeq and is a predicted model, not a curated record. The transcript is spliced from 3 exons. NCBI's taxonomy places the organism in Eukaryota, Metazoa, Chordata, Aves, Psittaciformes, Psittacidae.
UCAGGCUUUUACAUAGCACCAGAGACCCUCAAAAUGAAAAUUGCUAAUGGCAGUCAGUUUAUUAGAAAGAUAUGUUUUCAUCAUUGCUUCUAGAGGUCCUUGCUGUUCUCAGGAGGAUGUGGUAUGCUGCCCCGUCUCUUGCUGCGUUGGAAGACAGGCAAGUUGCCAGUUCUGGGAGAGAGAGCUGUAGCUUCAGUGCCUGCAGCUACCUGGGAGAGCCACUAGUCUCUGCAGGUUUCUAAAAGCACAGCAGAGUGGCUUGACAUGGGAGCUACUGCCUCUCACAAAUCGAAGAUAUGCUCCUCAACUGCUGGCUCAGAUGGCUGCUCACCUAUGCAGCCCAGGGCUGCUGGCUGGAAAGAGAAGAUUCCACCACUCAUCUGGCAAAGGCUGAGGCUACUGGACAACAGCAUUCCCAGCAUUUGAUAGUUCUUAAUCCAUCCUACAGUACCUCACUCAGCCUGCAGCUCUGGAUGUGUCCUGAUUUUAGAGCUUGUCAUCCCUGAACAUACCUCAGAUAAUUGUUUGAUUCUCCUCCUAAAUCCACCAGCAAUUUUUGAAA